GAUCCUGGCUCAGGAUGAACGCUGGCGGCGUGCCUAACACAUGCAAGUCGAACGAAGCUUGACGGAUGAUUUCUUCGGAAUGAAACCAGAUAUGACUUAGUGGCGGACGGGUGGAGUAACACGUGAGCAACCUGCCUUUUCAGAGGGGGGAUAACGGCUGGAAACGGUCGCUAAUACCGCAUGAUGUGUUCGGAUGGCAUCAUCUGAACAUCAAAAGAUUUAUCGCUGAAAGA
This 233-nucleotide ribosomal RNA is filed under the name uncultured bacterium. RNAcentral's name for it is "partial 16S ribosomal RNA". It matches the Rfam family "Bacterial small subunit ribosomal RNA", at positions 15 to 225 of the family's 1533-position model. The record is from RNAcentral.